This 301-nucleotide ribosomal RNA is filed under the name uncultured bacterium. Its description in RNAcentral is "partial 16S ribosomal RNA". It matches the Rfam family "Bacterial small subunit ribosomal RNA", at positions 509 to 807 of the family's 1533-position model. The record is from RNAcentral.
CAGUAGCCACGGUAAAACGAAGGGUGCAAGCGUUAAUCGGAAUUACUGGGCGUAAAGCGUGCGUAGGCGGUGAGUUAAGUCUGCUGUGAAAUCCCCGGGCUCAACCUGGGAAUUGCAGUGGAUACUGGCUCGCUAGAGUGUGUCAGAGGAUGGUGGAAUUCCCGGUGUAGCGGUGAAAUGCGUAGAGAUCGGGAGGAACAUCAGUGGCGAAGGCGGCCAUCUGGGACAACACUGACGCUGAGGCACGAAAGCGUGGGGAGCAAACAGGAUUAGAUACCCCCGUAGUCCCUGUCUCUUAUAC